Molecule: ribosomal RNA, 254 nt
Filed under: uncultured bacterium
Lineage: Bacteria
Description: partial 16S ribosomal RNA
Rfam family: Bacterial small subunit ribosomal RNA
Source: RNAcentral
GACGGAGGAUGCAAGUGUUAUCCGGAAUCACUGGGCGUAAAGCGUCUGUAGGUGGUUCGAAAAGUCCACUGUUAAAAAUUGAGGCUUAACUUCAAAGAUGCCGUGGAAACUUUCAAACUAGAGUAUGGUAGGGGUAGAGGGAAUUUCCAGUGGAGCGGUGAAAUGCGUAGAUAUCUACAGGAACUCCGGUGGCGAAAGCGGCGUGCUGGACCUUUUCUGACGCUGAGGCGCGAAAGCUAGGGGAGCAAACGGGG